AGAGUUUGAUCAUGGCUCAGAAUCAACGCUGGCGGCGUGCCUAACACAUGCAAGUCGCACGAGAAAGGGGAGCAAUCCCUGAGUAAAGUGGCGCACGGGUGAGUAACACGUGAAUAAUCUACCUCCGAGUGGGGAAUAACUGAGAGAAAUCUUAGCUAAUACCGCAUAACACUUACGAGUCAAAGCAGCAAUGCGCUUGGAGAGGAGUUCGCGGCCGAUUAGUUUGUUGGCGGGGUAAUGGCCCACCAAGACGAUGAUCGGUAUCCGGCCUGAGAGGGCGCACGGACACACUGGAACUGAAACACGGUCCAGACUCCUACGGGAGGCAGCAGUGGGGAAUUUUGCGCAAUGGGGGAAACCCUGACGCAGCAACGCCGCGUGGAGGAUGAAAUAUCUUGGUAUGUAAACUCCUUUCGAUGGGGAAGAUUAUGACGGUACCCAUAGAAGAAGCCCCGGCUAACUUCGUGCCAGCAGCCGCGGUAAUACGAGGGGGGCAAGCGUUGUUCGGAUUUAUUGGGCGUAAAGGGUGCGUAGGCGGUUUGGCAAGUCUGAUGUGAAAUCUAUGGGCUCAACCCAUAGUCUGCAUCAGAAACUGCCGGGCUUGAGUAUGGGAGAGGUGAGUGGAAUUUCCGGUGUAGCGGUGAAAUGCGUAGAUAUUCGGAAGAACACCGUGGCGAAGGCGGCUCACUGGCCCGGUACUGACGCUGAGGUGCGAAAGCGUGGGGAGCAAACAGGAUUAGAUACCCUAGUAGUCC
RNAcentral lists this ribosomal RNA (755 nucleotides) under uncultured bacterium. Its description in RNAcentral is "bacterial SSU rRNA". It matches the Rfam family "Bacterial small subunit ribosomal RNA", at positions 8 to 796 of the family's 1533-position model. The record is from RNAcentral.